GACGAACGCUGGCGGCGUGCUUAACACAUGCAAGUCGAACGGAAAGGCCCGGCGUUUGUUGGUUUCUCGAUUGGCGAACAGGUGAGUAACACGUGAGGAACCUGCCCUUGACUUUGGGAUAACUUCAGGAAACUGGGGCGAAUACCGGGUAUGAUCUCCUGCUGCAUAUGGGGGAUUGGAAAAUUUCGGCUUUUGGGGAUGUACUGGCUGCUUAUCAGCUUGUUGGUGUGGUAGUUGCUUACCAAGGCUUUGACGGGUAGCCGGCCUGAGAGCGUGACCGGCCACAUUGGGCCUGAGAUAGGGAGCAGAAUCGUACGGGCGGCAGUAGUGGAGAACAUUGCAGAAUGGGCGGACGCCUGAUGCAGAAACGCUGCGUGCGGGAUGCCGGCCUUCGGGUUGUAAACCGAUUUCGAAUGUGCUGAACACUGCGUGACGGUAAUGGGUCAAGAAGCCACGGCUAACUACGUG
Molecule: ribosomal RNA, 468 nt
Filed under: uncultured bacterium
Lineage: Bacteria
Description: partial 16S ribosomal RNA
Rfam family: Bacterial small subunit ribosomal RNA
Source: RNAcentral